AGAGUUUGAUCCUGGCUCAGAACGAACGCUGGCGGCAGGCUUAACACAUGCAAGUCGAACGCACCGCAAGGUGAGUGGCAGACGGGUGAGUAACGCGUGGGAACGUGCCCUUCAGUCCGGGAUAACCCAGGGAAACUUGGGCUAAUACCGGAUACGUGCGAGAGCAGAAAGAUUCAUCGCUGAAGGAUCGGCCCGCGUCUGAUUAGCUAGUUGGUAGGGUAAUGGCCUACCAAGGCGACGAUCAGUAGCUGGUCUGAGAGGAUGAUCAGCCACAUUGGGACUGAGACACGGCCCAAACUCCUACGGGAGGCAGCAGUGGGGAAUAUUGGACAAUGGGCGCAAGCCUGAUCCAGCCAUGCCGCGUGAGUGAUGAAGGCCUUAGGGUUGUAAAGCUCUUUCGUCCGGGACGAUAAUGACGGUACCGGAAGAAGAAGCCCCGGCUAACUUCGUGCCAGCAGCCGCGGUAAUACGAAGGGGGCUAGCGUUGUUCGGAAUCACUGGGCGUAAAGGGCGCGUAGGCGGCCUGAUAAGUCGGGGGUGAAAGCCUGUGGCUCAACCACAGAAUUGCCUUCGAUACUGUCGGGCUUGAGACCGGAAGAGGUAAGUGGAACUGCGAGUGUAGAGGUGAAAUUCGUAGAUAUUCGCAAGAACACCAGUGGCGAAGGCGGCUUACUGGUCCGGUUCUGACGCUGAGGCGCGAAAGCGUGGGGAGCAAACAGGAUUAGAUACCCUAGUAGUCC
This 740-nucleotide ribosomal RNA is filed under the name uncultured bacterium. RNAcentral's name for it is "bacterial SSU rRNA". It matches the Rfam family "Bacterial small subunit ribosomal RNA", at positions 8 to 796 of the family's 1533-position model. The record is from RNAcentral.